This is a long non-coding RNA of Eptesicus fuscus (big brown bat), 257 nucleotides long. RefSeq lists it as uncharacterized. The record is from RefSeq and is a predicted model, not a curated record. The transcript is spliced from 3 exons. Lineage: Eukaryota; Metazoa; Chordata; Mammalia; Chiroptera; Vespertilionidae.
CAGCAGGGCCCAGAGAGAAGAAAAAAACAAGGGGAUCCAGCCUUUCCAGUCGUGUCCACAGGCGCCAGGGCUGCCUUUUCAAUGUCUUCUAUGAAGAUGACUUCUCUCUGAGUGACUUCAGGCCCUGCCCACGCCAUACUCGCCUCUUCUUCGAUGGACUCAUUCCUAAAUGCCAGCUGAAGGGAAUACCAUCUCCUGAAUCCGACCCUCUUGGACAGAAACCUACGUUCCCACGAAACACCACAUGUCGUCCUGAA